AUUCAUGUUUACAGGUAGGCUGAUUUUUUAACAAUAACAAUGGCCAAUGGUUUUAAGACAUGUGGCUCAAUAAUAAAAAUAAUAGAAAACCUCAAAUUCAUAACAACACAGUUGUUUCUUGAAAUGAAUCACUAAUAAAUUUCAAAUUGCCCACUAUAUCAAUUCUCUAUCAUACCUAAUUCUUUCCAAGCUUGAAAAGAUAAAAUCCAAAAAAAAUAAGUUUCAUUUAUUUAUUUCAAAACAAAGAUGCAAUUAUUAUCCCUUUGACUCAAACAAGAAGCUGUAAUAUACC
Molecule: long non-coding RNA, 292 nt
Filed under: Lathyrus oleraceus (garden pea)
Lineage: Eukaryota; Viridiplantae; Streptophyta; Magnoliopsida; Fabales; Fabaceae
Description: Pisum sativum (pea) long non-coding RNA (PSAT_LNC023396)
Source: RNAcentral